GGAAAGUUAAGGUCUAUAUAGUAUUGCUAUUAUAGUUGCUUUUGAGGAAAGCCCAUUUGAAGGCAAGUCAAUAUAGAGUGUAGGCAUUGAAAUGUAAGGCAAGAUUAAGAUGAGGUGGCUUUUGAGGUACGUGUGACAUAUUCUGGUCAUAAAACUCCAGAAUAGCUAAAAGGCAGUUCCCAAUUGUUUUUUUGCAAUGACUAAGAGGGCGUGUUACCCUUUUUUUUAUAAAGAAAAAAAGUAAUUUCAAUCACAUCCAUUCUUUUACAUGAAUUGGUGGAUUCUUCCAU
Molecule: unclassified non-coding RNA, 290 nt
Filed under: Hevea brasiliensis (rubber tree)
Lineage: Eukaryota; Viridiplantae; Streptophyta; Magnoliopsida; Malpighiales; Euphorbiaceae
Source: RNAcentral